AAACCCUGAUGCAGCCAUGCCGCGUGUGUGAAGAAGGCCUUCGGGUUGUAAAGCACUUUCAGUCAGGAGGAAGGUGGUGUAGCUAAUAUCUGCACCAAUUGACGUUACUGACAGAAGAAGCACCGGCUAACUCCGUGCCAGCAGCCGCGGUAAUACGAAGGGGGCUAGCGUUGCUCGGAAUCACUGGGCGUAAAGCGCACGUAGGCGGAUCGUUAAGUCAGGGGUGAAAUCCUGGGGCUCAACCUCAGAACUGCCCUUGAUACUGGCGAUCUCGAGUUCGAGAGAGGUUGGUGGAACUCCGAGUGUAGAGGUGAAAUUCGUAGAUAUUCGGAAGAACACCAGUGGCGAAGGCGGCCAACUGGCUCGAUACUGACGCUGAGGUGCGAAAGCGUGGGGAGCAAACA
RNAcentral lists this ribosomal RNA (404 nucleotides) under uncultured Xanthobacter sp. RNAcentral describes it as "bacterial SSU rRNA". It matches the Rfam family "Bacterial small subunit ribosomal RNA", at positions 378 to 774 of the family's 1533-position model. Lineage: Bacteria; Pseudomonadati; Pseudomonadota; Alphaproteobacteria; Hyphomicrobiales; Xanthobacteraceae. The record is from RNAcentral.